GGGGCUAUAGCUCAGCUGGGAGAGCGCUUGCAUGGCAUGCAAAGAGGUCAGCGGUUCGAUCCCGCUUAGCUCCACCA
RNAcentral lists this transfer RNA (77 nucleotides) under Escherichia coli. Its description in RNAcentral is "tRNA-Ala(ggc)". It matches the Rfam family "tRNA". Rfam says of the family: Transfer RNA (tRNA) molecules are approximately 80 nucleotides in length. Their secondary structure includes four short double-helical elements and three loops (D, anti-codon, and T loops). Further hydrogen bonds mediate the characteristic L-shaped molecular structure. tRNAs have two regions of fundamental functional importance: the anti-codon, which is responsible for specific mRNA codon recognition, and the 3' end, to which the tRNAs corresponding amino acid is attached (by aminoacyl-tRNA synthetases). tRNAs cope with the degeneracy of the genetic code in two manners: having more than one tRNA (with a specific anti-codon) for a particular amino acid; and 'wobble' base-pairing, i.e. permitting non-standard base-pairing at the 3rd anti-codon position. RNAcentral also lists the same sequence under 1 other name. Lineage: Bacteria; Pseudomonadati; Pseudomonadota; Gammaproteobacteria; Enterobacterales; Enterobacteriaceae. The record is from RNAcentral.